UGGGGAAUAUUGCACAAUGGGGGGAAACCCUGAUGCAGCGACGCCGCGUGAACGAAGAAGUAUUUCGGUAUGUAAAGUUCUAUCAGCAGGGAAGAUAAUGACGGUACCUGACUAAGAAGCUCCGGCUAACUACGUGCCAGCAGCCGCGGUAAUACGUAGGGAGCAAGCGUUAUCCGGAUUUACUGGGUGUAAGGGGCGCGUAGGCGGGAUGGCAAGUCAGAUGUGAAAUCCAUGGGCUCAACCCAUGAACUGCAUUUGAAACUGUUAUUCUUGAGUACUGGAGAGGUUGACGGAAUUCCUAGUGUAGCGGUGAAAUGCGUAGAUAUUAGGAGGAACACCAGUGGCGAAGGCGGUCAACUGGACAGCAACUGACGCUGAGGCGCGAAAGCGUGGGGAGCAAACAGGAUUAGAUACCCUGGUAGU
RNAcentral lists this ribosomal RNA (423 nucleotides) under uncultured Lachnospiraceae bacterium. RNAcentral describes it as "bacterial SSU rRNA". It matches the Rfam family "Bacterial small subunit ribosomal RNA", at positions 355 to 794 of the family's 1533-position model. Lineage: Bacteria; Bacillati; Bacillota; Clostridia; Lachnospirales; Lachnospiraceae. The record is from RNAcentral.